RNAcentral lists this ribosomal RNA (433 nucleotides) under uncultured bacterium. Its description in RNAcentral is "partial 16S ribosomal RNA". It matches the Rfam family "Bacterial small subunit ribosomal RNA", at positions 29 to 507 of the family's 1533-position model. The record is from RNAcentral.
AACGAACGCUGGCGGCAUGCCUAAUACAUGCAAGUCGAACGAGACCUUCGGGUGUAGUGGCGCAUGGGUGCGUAACGCGUGGGAACCUGCCCUUAGGUUCGGAAUAACUCCCCGAAAGGGGUGCUAAUACCGGAUAAUGUCUUAGGACCAAGGAUUUAUCGCCUUUGGAUGGGCCCGCGUUGAAUUAGCUAGUUGGUAGGGUAAAAGACUACCAAGGCGACGAUCCAUAGCUGGUCUGAGAGGAUGAUCAGCCACACUGAGACUAAGACACGGCCCAGACUCCUACGGGAGGCAGCAGUGGGUAAUAGUGGACAAUGGGCGAAAGCCUGAUCCAGCAAUGCCGCGUGAGUGAUGAAGGCCUUAGGGUUGUAAAGCGCUUUUACCCGGGAUGAUAAUGACGGUACCGUAAGAAUAAGCUCCGGCUAACUCCGUG